This 435-nucleotide ribosomal RNA is filed under the name uncultured bacterium. Its description in RNAcentral is "partial 16S ribosomal RNA". It matches the Rfam family "Bacterial small subunit ribosomal RNA", at positions 29 to 507 of the family's 1533-position model. The record is from RNAcentral.
AGCGAACGCUGGCGGCAGGCUUAACACAUGCAAGUCGAGCGGGCACUUUCGGGUGUCAGCGGCGGACGGGUGAGUAACGCGUGGGAACGUGCCCUCUGGUUCGGAAUAACUCAGGGAAACUUGGGCUAAUACCGGAUACGCCCUUUUGGGGAAAGGCUUGCUGCCGGAGGAUCGGCCCGCGUCUGAUUAGCUAGUUGGUGAGGUAACGGCUCACCAAGGCGACGAUCAGUAGCUGGUCUGAGAGGAUGAUCAGCCACACUGGGACUGAGACACGGCCCAGACUCCUACGGGAGGCAGCAGUGGGGAAUAUUGGACAAUGGGCGCAAGCCUGAUCCAGCCAUGCCGCGUGAGUGAUGAAGGCCUUAGGGUUGCAAAGCUCUUUUAUCCGGGACGAUAAUGACGGUACCGGAGGAAUAAGCCCCGGCUAACUUCGUG